AGAUUGGUAUCUUAUCUGAGAUGAAGAUCGAAGCCGUAAAACUGUUAAGCCGAAGCAAACGUGAAGUUGUGAAAUAUCAUACAAGUUUAAGUACCUCCAGUCUUGGGUGCAGCAGUGUGCAUUUAAGACAACAUUUUGGGGCGUGUAAGGCCAGGAAACCCAUUUCCCACAACUUGACAGCCAUACAUUCAUAUUAUCGGAGUUGCAAGCAUAUUGGCCAAAAAAAAAACCCAAUAAGGGUCAUCGGCUCUGGCUCUCUAAGAGGACCAAGGCUUUAGCCUUCACUUUUCCGUAUCCUGCGCCGCUCUGGUGAUUUUCCCACUUUAAAUCAGAUGGCGCGUGAGCCCUCUUUUUGAACCGGGUCGCCGCAGUGCCCUUACCCAGUUGGGUGUUGUCGGAUCAAAACUGCAUCCAUGAUCGCGUGCAUCGCGCCAGCAGCUGGUACAUUAUUCAUUUAUCUGCAGUUUUGUACGACGUACGACGUACAUGCUUCGCAGGUGCCUACAUUACCGACAUCGUCUUCCCUCCUGAACCAUGCUGUACCUUAUAGGCUUUGACCGGCUUCCUCUAUUGGCCGAGACCCUCUCUGGCCACAAACUGCUAAGCCGCGAUCCCCUCCCGUUACACUGCCAGGUUGCCCCCUCCAGUGGCCAGUAAUACCUCUUGCGAGCCCGUGGAUACCGAUAUGCCCAUCAUGACCGGCCGACAUCGCGAACUCCCCGCCGGCUCCUGCGCAAGGGACAACGAUGCCGUGCGCCCCUCGGCUCAUGAUUCCUGUCGCGGGAGGCUGUGGCCUUAGCGUCUUGCUACUGCCAUGGCCCAUUCUGAUUUUUUCCGCUGGACUGUGGCAGCCACUGGCUGUCCUGCUGCGGCCAUAGCCGUAAUACCGCUGCUUUGUCACUGAGUCGAAAAUGUGGCGGGUAAGCUUUCCUGCAGCCCCCCAUUCAUACCCCACCGAAUCAAACGCUGGGCUUUAGCUUCGAGACGCAUUACCAAUGAACCAUACGCUUUGCCGCAAACCGAGUCGUGUCUAAUUUCCCCCGCCGUACAGACUCCUAUCAAAGUAUCUCAGCCACACAGAAUCGUUGUGUGCAUCUUUGCAAGAUUCGAACCCAACAAGCCAUCGUUAUCCUUCGACCUGGCCAUCGACAACAAGGACUUUGACUACGGCAAUCAAGGGAGGAGCUACGCGGGCUACUAGACUCUAGAUAGAUCUCGUUUUUGUUAGGUUUAAGGGUAUACGCGUACCUAUAUUUAGAUAGUAGAUACAAAUCUUUUCCACUUGUUUCUUUUUUUUACUAAGCUAAGUUUUUCUGAA
Molecule: long non-coding RNA, 1318 nt
Organism: Drosophila pseudoobscura
Lineage: Eukaryota; Metazoa; Arthropoda; Insecta; Diptera; Drosophilidae
Exons: 5
Source: RefSeq, a predicted model, not a curated record